GGGUACCAUUGCUAGAUGGUCACUUCGAUUGGUACAAGAAUUUGUUCCUGUGCUACCGGCUUAGGUUCGGACCUAUGAGGUCACACACAUUAGAGUUCAUGAUCCGAUCGGAUGGUUGAUCAACGAUUAAGAAUCGUUCUAGGGUUAAAUGAUCAAUACGAUUGACAUUUAACCCAGUGCAAGUAUUCCAAGAGGAUCGAUUAGCAAUUCGAUUGCUAAUUGGCUUAAUUUGAUUAAGCCAAUGAGCUGAGAUUAAGUCUAAUUAAAUAUGAUUUAAUUAGAUUUAUUUUGGGCUUGAUUGGAUCAAGUCCAAUUGGUUUAUUGGAUAAGUCAAGUGCAAGGAAAAACUAGUCCU
Molecule: long non-coding RNA, 355 nt
Filed under: Elaeis guineensis (African oil palm)
Lineage: Eukaryota; Viridiplantae; Streptophyta; Magnoliopsida; Arecales; Arecaceae
Description: long non-coding RNA (EGUI_LNC081623)
Source: RNAcentral